This 22-nucleotide microRNA is filed under the name Gallus gallus (chicken). Its description in RNAcentral is "Gga-Mir-124-P4-v1_5p* (star (passenger))". The record is from RNAcentral. Lineage: Eukaryota; Metazoa; Chordata; Aves; Galliformes; Phasianidae.
UGUGUUCACUGCAGACCUUGAU